CUACGGGUCGCUGCAGCGGGGAAUAUUGCACAAUGGGCGCAAGCCUGAUGCAGCCGUGCCGCGUGUAUGAAGAAGGCCUUCGGGUUGUAAAGUACUUUCAGCGGGGAGGAAGGGAGUAAAGUUAAUACCUUUGCUCAUUGACGUUACCCGCAGAAGAAGCACCGGCUAACUCCGUGCCAGCAGCCGCGGUAAUACGGAGGGUGCAAGCGUUAAUCGGAAUUACUGGGCGUAAAGCGCACGCAGGCGGUUUGUUAAGUCAGAUGUGAAAUCCCCGGGCUCAACCUGGGAACUGCAUCUGAUACUGGCAAGCUUGAGUCUCGUAGAGGGGGGUAGAAUUCCAGGUGUAGCGGUGAAAUGCGUAGAGAUCUGGAGGAAUACCGGUGGCGAAGGCGGCCCCCUGGACGAAGACUGACGCUCAGGUGCGAAAGCGUGGGGAGCAAACAGGAUUAGAUACCCGAGUAGUC
Molecule: ribosomal RNA, 464 nt
Filed under: uncultured bacterium
Lineage: Bacteria
Description: partial 16S ribosomal RNA
Rfam family: Bacterial small subunit ribosomal RNA
Source: RNAcentral